AGUAGUUCCUCAUCUUUUUAUUUUUUAAUGUUAUGGAUCCAUUUUAGCUCCUGAUGUCAGCAACAGGCAGCAUCCUACUUUUCAAGGUGUUUAUGAUUAUCUUGACACUAAUAUUAAAAACCCAACCUUUUCAGCUGGACUCUAUGACUGCUCUAAAGCGGCCUGCUUCAAUAUAUGAAAUUUAAAAUGUGGGAUUUUAGCUCAGAAAGCAGAGCUUGGUUUAAAAAAAAAUGUGGGCUUAAUAAUGUAAAAAAGGCACAGUCAGGCCAUGGUCUUCCUUGGGAAAGGCCUAAGGGGCAGCAAGGAUCACACCUGUAGAGCGCUGUGGAGUUGAGGCGUGUGGGGGCGGGAUCCACUCUGCAGAAAUCUGUGCUCUCACAAUCACAGUCCCUGCCACUCAGAG
Molecule: long non-coding RNA, 403 nt
Filed under: Homo sapiens (human)
Lineage: Eukaryota; Metazoa; Chordata; Mammalia; Primates; Hominidae
Description: non-protein coding lnc-GRID1-9:1
Source: RNAcentral